Molecule: long non-coding RNA, 1715 nt
Filed under: Homo sapiens (human)
Lineage: Eukaryota; Metazoa; Chordata; Mammalia; Primates; Hominidae
Description: non-protein coding lnc-FH-4:9
Source: RNAcentral
UCCAUCUGUUGACCAAUGCUUUUAUAAAGCUUGAUAGAAGAAAACAAAAAUGCAUUUUCUGGUUCUUGUUUUCUUUCUUUUUUAUUUUUUUCAAAGAGACAGGGUCUCUCUCUGUCACCCAGGCUGGAGUGCAGUGGUGCAAUGGAGUUCACUGCAGCCUCAACCUCCUGGGCUCAAGCGAUCCUCCCACUUUAGCCUCCCAGGUAGCUGGGACUCUUGACCUAAGAAAUUGGAGUGAUUCAUUUCAUCAGUAACUUUCAGAAAAAUAUCUGAGUGAGGGUGGACAGCAUGGCGGGGAUACCCAGUCCCAUGCUACCAUGACUAGGACAUAGGUCUGCAUCAUUCUGGGUUGAGCAUUAUUCUGGGCUUAUUUGAUACCAAAACCUAAAGCCAUGUUCUCUUUUCUUUUCUUUUUUUGAAAUGGAGUUUCACUCUCGUUGCUCAGGCUGGAGUGCAAUGGUGCAAUCUCAGCUCACCACCACCUCCGCCUCCCGGGUUCAAGUGAUUCUCCUCCUUCAGCCUCCCGAGUAGCUGUGAUUACAGGCAUGUGCCACCACAGCUGGCUAAUUUUUGUAUUUUUAGUAGAGACGGGGUUUCUCCAUGUUGGUCAGGCUGGUCUCAAACUCCCGACCUCAGGUGAUCCACCCGCCUUGGCAUCCCAAAGUGCUGGGAUUACAGGCGUGAGCCACCGUGUCCGGCCCAUGUUCUCUUUUCUUGCCCCUGAGCCUUUGAGUGAUUGUAUCUUAGGGAGAAUCCACUUGCCAGGAUGUGGGUCAUAAUUAGAAUGGUGGGAAUAGUGGCAUUGUCUCUGCUUCACCCAGCCAUAACUGCCUGAACUAAGGCAGUUAUUUUAUGGACAGAAAGGAGCAGCUGGGUUGGGGAGGCCUUGGUGAGGUAGAUAGGCUGAUUAAAUAAUGAAUGAGUGAUGAAAAAGAGGGAGCUGCUGGUCCAGCCACACUGAAGUCCUCAGAGCCAAGGGUGUUGCUGAGGCUAAGGACCUGGGGUCUGCAGCAGGGCAGGCUCUGGGGCAAGUCAUCAAAAAGCCCUGAUUGACACCACCCCUGUUGAUGUCCUCUAGGGUUCCUGAGCACUUGUGAGAGUAGCUAUGUUGAAUUCCAGAGGUCUCUGUGAUUGCACAAGAGCAGGAAAUUUCCCUCAUUUAUUCAUGUGUCUGACAAUCACUUAUCAAGCACCUAUGUUUACAGAUGGUCCCCAACUUAAUGUGGUUCGACUUAGGAUUUUUCAACUAUACCGUGGUGUGAAAGAGAUACACAUUCAGUAGAAACCGUAUUUUGACUACCCAUAUGAUCACUGUGUUUUUCACUUUCAGCAUAGGAGUCAACAAAUCAAGUGGGACAUUCAACACUUUAUUAUAAAAUAGGCUUUGUCUUAGAUUCUUUUGUCAAACUGUAGGCCAAUGUAAGUGCUCUGAGCACAGUUAAGGUAAGACUAGACUAAGCUAUGAUGUUCGGUAGGUUAGGUGUUUUUUUUUUUUUUUUCUUUUUGUGAUGGAGUUUCUCUCUUGCUGGCCAGGCUGGAGUGCAAUGGCGCGAUCUCAGCUCACUGCAAUCUCUGCCUCUCGGGGUUCAAGUGAUUCUCCUGCGUCAGCCUCCCAAGUAGCUAGGGUUACAGGCAUGCACCACCGUGCCUGGCUAAUUUUUUAUAUUUAGUAGAGAUGGGGUUUCACCAUGUUAGUCAAGCUGGUCUCAAACCCC